Molecule: ribosomal RNA, 173 nt
Filed under: Thalassiothrix antarctica
Lineage: Eukaryota; Bacillariophyta; Fragilariophyceae; Thalassionematales; Thalassionemataceae
Description: partial Eukaryotic small subunit ribosomal RNA
Rfam family: Eukaryotic small subunit ribosomal RNA
Source: RNAcentral
ACCUGGUUGAUUCUGCCAGUAGUCAUACGCUCGUCUCAAAGAUUAAGCCAUGCAUGUCUAAGUAUAAGCUUUUAUACGGUGAAACUGCGAAUGGCUCAUUAAAUCAGUUAUAGUUUAUUUGAUGGUCUUGUACUCGGAUACCUGUUGGAAUCCAAGAGCUAAUACGUGCGCAA